AUAUUUUCAUAACAAAAAGCUUCCAUAAACACCAAUCUUUCCAUCCUCCCCUCUCAUGAUUCUUUCCAUACAGAUGCUCCCUCCCGCAUUCGUUUAUUUCCUUCCAAUUAUACCGGGAUUUUUUUCCAGCUUCUGUUCCUCAAAAAAUUUCUCACGAUCAAGGCCCCUGCCCUUCCUUAUCUACCCACAAAUCUCGUGCCCCUCUCCCAGGUCAGGUUCCGGAGCCGGGUCGUCGCCGCGGAGUACGUCGAUGCGGAGCCGGAGGGCGCGGCGGACCGGUGGGAGAGGUGGAACGGCAACGGCGAGGCCUUCGGCGACGGCUCGGGUGUGUGGUGCCUCACUGUGGGCCACUGGGGCGCCGGCGAGCAGGAGCCGGAGACGGAGGAGGUGCAUGAGUCCGACUUCCUGAUCCUCUGCAUCGGCAGUUUCAGCGGCAUGCCCAACAUCCCAGCGGUGUCCCCAGGCCCGGAGGCGUUCCGCGGGCGGGUGCUCCUGCAUGGAGCUCUCCCACAUGGCCGACGAGGACGCCACCGCGCUGGUUAAGGGGAAGCGCAUCACCGUCAUGGGGUCCGGCAAGUUGGCCUUCGAGAUCGCCGCCGAGUGCGCCGACGCCAAUGGCGCGGGGACGCCGUGCACGAUGUUGUGCCAGAACCCUCAUUGGCUGCUACCAUCGGGUACCUCUACAUGAACCAAAGAACGCAUUUUAUUCUAACUGUUAGUCUGCUAUAUCCACGAGCUCACUGACGCCAGACCAGCAAGCAGCCCAGAUUGAAUGGCACUGAGCUCCAAGUUCAACUGAUUAUAUAAUGCUGCACGUGAUCUGCGCCACCCCCACACGAUCCGCUACCAUAUCAAUGAUUGUGUAUCUGUAUUUAUUUAUCUACAAAUCAUUGUACUGUUGUGAUUUUGUUAAGCAGAUACAUGCAUGGCAGGGGGAAGUUGAGCGAGCAUGGCAAAGCCAAAGAUAUCUUCCUUGGAGCUACCAUUUAAUUCAUAAGAUGUCAAGUAAUAGCUUGAAGUUUAGGUGAUAAAAAUGCUAAUAUGAUGAUCAGGUCAGGUAUAAUAUCAUAGAAAAUGUAAAAAAAAUAUCAUUGGAGUUGUUUUCAUUAUAGUAAUCAGAAUGCUUUGUCUUGCACCAUUAUUUGUUGAACAUCUUUAUUUGUAGGAUGUAGGCUGAGUUUCAGAAGAUGAGAGUUGAAAUGGCUGGAAUGAGAACAAAAAAAUGGCAGCUUGGUCUUUACAAUUGCAGUUUCAAUUCCUUAUUUGAGUCUAACUCAGGUGUUUCAUAGACUUUCCAAAAUAUCUAUUUUUGAACCUUACUGAAGUUGGCCUCUUACCGAGGAAAAAAGUCUAUGAAUGGAUCAUCUGAAAAACAAGACGUUACAGUUCCUUAAAAUUAAAAGUGAAAUUGCUUGCCAAAUACAGUAACAGGUAACUCCAAUAUUUGUUGGAAUGAGAUAACGUAUGCCAGGUGAAUAUUUGUAGAGUUACCUGUUAGGGUUCUGUUUAGUCUGUUAUGUUUCCCUCUAAUUUUUUUAUUGCUUAGCUAGGGUAGAUAUUUUUAGUCUGUUAUGUUUCCUUGAUUUUUAAUUUUUUUGCUUAGCUAGGUUAGAUAUUUGUUUCCAGGUGUUACAACAUGGCUUAGCACCUACUACAUCAACGUUUCUCUGCUCCAAUUCUUACCGUCCCACAUCUCAAAGAAUUUGUGUGGUAGUCCCUAUCAUGAAAAAAAGUAGAACAAUUUCUAGCUUUCAUAUGCAUUUGUUUAUGCUGUAAUGUUUAAGAAUGAAGCAUUGAUCAAGGCCCCACAAAGGUGAUGUAGUGAUAUCGUGAUGUUCUAUACGCUAAUUGGAUGCAGGUGACAUGUCUCUCCUUUUCAAUUUCUCUUAUCGCAGGUUUGAUCGGAUGGAAUUCACACACUUGGAUCGAAGGAUUUGUGAUGCAAGGAAGAAGGUGGAUGGAGCGCCGAGGAACAUGAUAAGGAAGGGGUCGGAUGAGAGAGGAGAGAAGAGUAGGGUGAAGGACGAGAUGGAGGGAAAGAGGGACAAGGACAUGGUGAACGGAGUUUCUUGAGGCGGAGGGUGGGGGCUUCUCGGAGGAGGAGAUGUUGGACUUCUCCUUGUCCUAGCUUGUUGCUGCCUUGCUGGGUAGGGGCCAGUCUGUCCUCAUGAGGUUGUUGUCAAAUUCCUCACCGAGACUUCAGUGAUGCUGGGACAACUCAAGCAUGAAAUGUUAUGGUAGUUUGUUUGGGAAAUUGUAAAUUCUUGUGCAUGUGUGGUAGAGUACAUUGGAAAAUAAGGUCGGGCAGUGGGAGGAUUUGUCAACCAGUUUCAUACUCUUAUUAUAAUUGGGGGUUAGGUUAGCAUUUUGUACAGCAGCUCACGUCUAAAAGAAAAUUUUAAGGUGCUGGCUUGUUA
Triticum dicoccoides is the source of this 2417-nucleotide long non-coding RNA. RefSeq lists it as uncharacterized. The transcript is spliced from 2 exons. The record is from RefSeq and is a predicted model, not a curated record. Lineage: Eukaryota; Viridiplantae; Streptophyta; Magnoliopsida; Poales; Poaceae.